This 238-nucleotide ribosomal RNA is filed under the name uncultured bacterium. RNAcentral describes it as "partial 16S ribosomal RNA". It matches the Rfam family "Bacterial small subunit ribosomal RNA", at positions 96 to 334 of the family's 1533-position model. The record is from RNAcentral.
CGGCGGACGGGUGAGUAACGCGUGGGUAACCUGCCUCGUACAGGGGGAUAACAGUUGGAAACGGCUGCUAAUACCGCAUAAGCGCACAGUACCGCAUGGUACCGUGUGAAAAACUCCGGUGGUAUGAGAUGGACCCGCGUCUGAUUAGGUAGUUGGUGGGGUAAAGGCCUACCAAGCCGACGAUCAGUAGCCGACCUGAGAGGGUGACCGGCCACAUUGGGACUGAGACACGGCCCAA